Molecule: ribosomal RNA, 253 nt
Filed under: uncultured bacterium
Lineage: Bacteria
Description: partial 16S ribosomal RNA
Rfam family: Bacterial small subunit ribosomal RNA
Source: RNAcentral
UACGUAGGGUGCAAGCGUUAAUCGGAAUUACUGGGCGUAAAGCGUGCGCAGGCGGCUUUGCAAGACAGAUGUGAAAUCCCCGGGCUUAACCUGGGAACUGCAUUUGUGACUGCAUGGCUGGAGUGCGGCAGAGGGGGAUGGAAUUCCGCGUGUAGCAGUGAAAUGCGUAGAUAUGCGGAGGAACACCGAUGGCGAAGGCAGCCUUCUGGGCCAACACUGACACUCAUGCACGAAAGCGUGGGGAGCAAACAGG